This is an RNA transcript of Pistacia vera, 1425 nucleotides long. It is a transcript of the gene named probable protein phosphatase 2C 23, with no coding region annotated. Lineage: Eukaryota; Viridiplantae; Streptophyta; Magnoliopsida; Sapindales; Anacardiaceae. The transcript is spliced from 6 exons. The record is from RefSeq and is a predicted model, not a curated record.
ACGCAAAACACUCUCCACUUCUCCACUCCGUUCGCAUCUUCUUCUCCAUUUUUCCACACCACAUAUAAAACAUUACAAAAUCCUACUGCUUUACUUUUGAACCCCGAAAAAGAAGGCAAAGAGUUUUUAGAAUUUAAAAAUAGGUGAUGAAUCUUAAAGGUUGGUGUGUGUAUUAUACAAUAAUGUUGUUGUUGAUGAAAUUCCGUUUAUAUUAAAACCAACAAAGAUUGAUUUCUUCAAAAAGAAAGAUCUAAAAGUGCUUCUUUGCUUUUGAAACCAAAAUGAAGACCAGGAAUUUGGUGUUGCUGAUGUUAUGUGUUACGGUUAUAGCUCUUAUUGUUCUCUAUACUGAUAGAUUCUCUGCCUCUUUCAAGGCUUCUUUUCUAGAAACCAAUUUCUUGAAGAUCUUUUAGCUUUUGUAAGUUUUUCCAACUUUCCUUUUUCACCCCUUGUCUUUCAAACAAGAUAAGAUAGUAAAGUUUCAAUCUUUCUUCGUUUUUUCUCUUUAGACUGUCAGUGGUGAUGCCAUCCAUCUAAAUCUUCUUCCCCAAGUGCUUGUAUGUUCAUGGGUUUUUUGUUUUUUAAAAUAGUUUCUUACUCAUAAAGCUCAGAUCUUUAUAUAUUAUCCCUUCAAAAUCUCUUUUUUUUUUUCUUCCUUGUUGCAUAUAGGAAUCUUCCACAACCCGUAAAGUACCCAUUGGAAUAGUUUAUUCAGAAUCAAGAUAGCAUAAAUUAGCUAGAGUUUUGUCUACAACAAAUGAUGUUGAUCGGUCUCAAACAGAUAAUAUCAUCAAACAGGUCAUUGAUCUGAAUCAGAGUGAAAAUGAAAUCAAGAAAAGUUCUGGAGAUGCUCAGGACAAGAUUAAGGCAUCUGAGCAGCAGAAUUCUGAUAAUGACUCUCAAAAUAUGGUUUGAAUGUGAAAGGUCGUCUUAAGGUCACCAGAGCAUUUGGAGCUGGAUUUCUGAAAAAGCCCAAGUUGAACGAUUCAUUAUUGGAAAUGUUUCGAAAUGAGUAUAUUGGAACUGCUCCAUACAUAUCCUACACGCCUUCUCUUCAUCACCAUAGACUCUGCCCAAGAGAUCAAUUUUUGAUCCUCUCAUCUGAUGGCUUAUAUCAAUAUCUGACCAAUCAGGAAGUGGUUUCAAAUGUUGAGAGUUUCAUGGAGAAGUUUCCAGAUGGUGAUCCUGCACAACACCUAAUAGAGGAGCUGCUCUUCCAUGCAGCUGACAAAGCUGGAAAAAAUGAUACAGCUGCAACAUGAAACACAAGUAAGGGAAAGUGAAAAAACAGAAGCAGAAAUAUGUGAGGAAGUUCUAGGUAAAGCUGUGGGAUAUAAUCAAAAUUUUGCAUUUUCAUAGAUUCAACAUCAUGAUACUACAACAGAAGCAAAAUUAAGGUGCAUAGUGCAACCAAAAAAAAAAAAA